This 27-nucleotide non-coding RNA is filed under the name Homo sapiens (human). The record is from RNAcentral. Lineage: Eukaryota; Metazoa; Chordata; Mammalia; Primates; Hominidae.
CACAGGAUGGAGCACUUUUCCCUACUG